RNAcentral lists this ribosomal RNA (433 nucleotides) under uncultured bacterium. Its description in RNAcentral is "partial 16S ribosomal RNA". It matches the Rfam family "Bacterial small subunit ribosomal RNA", at positions 29 to 507 of the family's 1533-position model. The record is from RNAcentral.
AACGAACGCUGGCGGCAUGCCUAACACAUGCAAGUCGAACGAGACCUUCGGGUCUAGUGGCGCACGGGUGCGUAACGCGUAGGAACCUGCCCUUAGGUUCGGAAUAACCCCCCGAAAGGGGUGCUAAUAUCGGAUAAUGUCUUCGGACCAAAGAUUUAUCGCCUUUGGAUGGGCCCGCGUUGGAUUAGCCAGUUGGUAGGGUAAAAGCCUACCAAGGCGACGAUCCAUAGCUGGUCUGAGAGGAUGAUCAGCCACACUGGGACUGAGACACGGCCCAGACUCCUACGGGAGGCAGCAGUGGGGAAUAUUGGACAAUGGGCGAAAGCCUGAUCCAGCAAUGCCGCGUGAGUGAUGAAGGCCUUAGGGUUGUAAAGCUCUUUUACCCGGGAUGAUAAUGACAGUACCGGGAGAAUAAGCUCCGGCUAACUCCGUG